ACCUGGGUGGCUCAGUCGGUUAAGCAUCUGACUUUAGCUCAGGUCAUGAUCUCAGGGUUCGUGAGUUCAAGCCCCACAGCAGGUU
RNAcentral lists this transfer RNA (85 nucleotides) under Felis catus (domestic cat). It matches the Rfam family "tRNA". Rfam says of the family: Transfer RNA (tRNA) molecules are approximately 80 nucleotides in length. Their secondary structure includes four short double-helical elements and three loops (D, anti-codon, and T loops). Lineage: Eukaryota; Metazoa; Chordata; Mammalia; Carnivora; Felidae. The record is from Rfam by way of RNAcentral.